RNAcentral lists this small RNA (459 nucleotides) under Pongo abelii (Sumatran orangutan). RNAcentral's name for it is "retained intron". Lineage: Eukaryota; Metazoa; Chordata; Mammalia; Primates; Hominidae. The record is from RNAcentral.
GGAUGAGUUCUACCGCAGCGGCUGGGCCCUGAACAUGAAGGAGCUGAAGCUGCUGCAGACCAUCGGCAAGGGGGAGUUUGGAGGUGAGCUGGGCCGGGCCACCUGGGGGGGUGCCGAGGGACUCGGAACUUGGGAACAAGCCCACCUCUCUGCCCCCAGACGUGAUGCUGGGCGAUUACCGAGGGAACAAAGUCGCUGUCAAGUGCAUUAAGAACGACGCCACUGCCCAGGCCUUCCUGGCUGAAGCCUCAGUCAUGACGCAACUGCGGCAUAGCAACCUGGUGCAGCUCCUGGGCGUGAUCGUGGAGGAGAAGGGCGGGCUCUACAUCGUCACUGAGUACAUGGCCAAGGGGAGCCUCGUGGACUACUUGCGGUCUCGGGGUCGGUCAGUGCUGGGCGGAGACUGUCUCCUCAAGUUCUCGCUAGAUGUCUGUGAGGCCAUGGAGUACCUGGAGGGCA